CGGGAAACCGAAGCUAAUACCGGAUAGGAUCUUCUCCUUCAUGGGAGAUGAUUGAAAGAUGGUUUCGGCUAUCACUUACAGAUGGGCCCGCGGUGCAUUAGCUAGUUGGUGAGGUAACGGCUCACCAAGGCAACGAUGCAUAGCCGACCUGAGAGGGUGAUCGGCCACACUGGGACUGAGACACGGCCCAGACUCCUACGGGAGGCAGCAGUAGGGAAUCUUCCGCAAUGGACGAAAGUCUGACGGAGCAACGCCGCGUGAGUGAUGAAGGCUUUCGGGUCGUAAAACUCUGUUGUUAGGGAAGAACAAGUACGAGAGUAACUGCUCGUACCUUGACGGUACCUAACCAGAAAGCCACGGCUAACUACGUGCCAGCAGCCGGG
Molecule: ribosomal RNA, 383 nt
Filed under: Priestia megaterium
Lineage: Bacteria; Bacillati; Bacillota; Bacilli; Caryophanales; Bacillaceae
Description: bacterial SSU rRNA
Rfam family: Bacterial small subunit ribosomal RNA
Source: RNAcentral